Papaver somniferum (opium poppy) is the source of this 1726-nucleotide long non-coding RNA. RefSeq lists it as uncharacterized. The transcript has 4 exons. Lineage: Eukaryota; Viridiplantae; Streptophyta; Magnoliopsida; Ranunculales; Papaveraceae. The record is from RefSeq and is a predicted model, not a curated record.
UUCCGUUCCUUGUUUCUUUCUCUCACGUCUCUUCUAGGUCUCUCUCCGUUCUCCUGCAACCAUCAAAAGUCAAUCUAGAUCUGGUUACCAGUUGGGUGUUUUCACCUUCUUCGUUUUCGAUUUGUAUUGGAACAAUCAAAUAUCUUUCGAUCGGUUCAAUUUUCUAUUGGUGAAACUAAAGGAUAUCGAAUGGAAAGGAAAGUUUUAAAUGCAUGGUGGUGAAGCAGAGCAAACAUCUGUUUUGGAAGGAUUCAGUAAGGAACCAGAUUAGUUCUCAUAUUCAUCGUCAGAUUGUUGCUCCGGUUCUGGAUCAGUUUCAUUGCCAACUCCUGCACAGAAGCCAGCUCAGAAUCCUUGGUCUACAUAGCUGCUGGGAAGUAAUAACGUUUUUGCAAUGGCCGAAACCCCGCUAGAACUCGAUGCAGAUGGUUGAUCAUUAGCAUUAUCUGGUUGCUAUCUGCUUCAGCUCACCUCCUUUCAAAAGUUUGCCUGGUAAUCUGCAAAGACUGUAGGUGCAAAAGGAAGUACCCGAUAAGAGUUCAAGUGCAAUAGCUCCGAAACUGUAUUUGUCGCAUUUCUCUGUCACCUUCAUUGCAGAUGCAAGCUCUGGAAACAGUGAAACGGUAAUAGAGGAAUUAAUUCAAUUAAAUAAACUUGGAAUCAAUAAACAUAACCAUAUCGUCUUUAAGUUCCUUCAAGUCUCCCUUCAGUGAGGUUGUAGAUUGCUUGGCUGCGUUUUUCAUUAAUGUUUGAACCUGAACCAAACUUUCUUUUAUGUUCAGAAUGUCAUCCUUGAGUUCAUUCUCACUUGUAGGAGAUAGAUUGGAUAAGUUCUCCAUAAAAGCUUCCACCCCAAUCAAACUUGCUUUUAUAUUCUUCAGUUCAAGCUUCAGUUCACUCUCACUUGUAGUUGUAGGAGUUAGCUUGCCAGAGUUCAUGCAAUUUUCCAUCCUAGCCAAACUACCUUUAACUACAAGUGAGAGUGAACUGAAGCUUGAACUGAAGAAUAUAAAAGAAAGUUUGAUUGGGGUGGAAGUUUUUAUGGAGAACUUAUCCAAUCUAUCUCAUACAAGUGAGAAUGAACUCAAGGAUGACAUUCUGAACAUAAAAGAAAGUUUGGUUCAGGUUCAAACAUUAAUGAAAAACGCAGCCAAUCAAUCUCCAACCUCUGAGAAUGGACUGAAGGGAGACUUGAAGGAACUUAAAGACGGUAUGGUUAUAAAAAAAAAAGUGGAAAGGUAUUUGAAGAUCUCCGCCAAUAGGCCUCUUACUUACCAACCCCGAGCAGUGGAUUUCUUGCGGAGGCUUGGAGAGGCUCCUACAAUCCAGUAAGAAACUGAGUUAGCUGCAAUCAGGGCUGCAGGAAAGGCGUGGUACCAAACUAUGAUCUCAGACAGCGAUUACACAGAGUUCGAUGUCUUCCGUGAGUGGCUCAGUGAUUCUCUUGCAGUUUCGCAGUUUUUUCUGUUGGUGGAUUUUCUCGACUACUUGCAUCUCCUUCUGAACCCCGGAUAUUUAGUUACUUUAUUUGGUUAGACAGAUUUAAGGGUAAGACCGAUGAAAGACAUGAAAUUGAGUCAUAGUUUUUGGAUCUUUAUACAUAUGGCGGCUUUUGUGUUGUUAAAGUUUGCUUGCAAGUAGUUUUUACUGCUUUUUUUCCUUUCCCCAGUUCAGUGAAAUAUUCUAGUUUGAUAUUCUCAUAGUUUAGACUUCAUUUCUGCUGCCA